UACGGAGGGGGCUAGCGUUGUUCGGAAUUACUGGGCGUAAAGCGCGCGUAGGCGGCUUUGUAAGUUAGAGGUGAAAGCCCGGAGCUCAACUCCGGAACUGCCUUUAAGACUGCAUCGCUAGAAUCAUGGAGAGGUGAGUGGAAUUCCGAGUGUAGAGGUGAAAUUCGUAGAUAUUCGCAAGAACACCAGUGGCGAAGGCGGGUAGCUGGGCCGACACUGACGCUGAGGCGCGACAGCGUGGGGAGCAAACAGG
RNAcentral lists this ribosomal RNA (253 nucleotides) under uncultured bacterium. RNAcentral describes it as "partial 16S ribosomal RNA". It matches the Rfam family "Bacterial small subunit ribosomal RNA", at positions 524 to 776 of the family's 1533-position model. The record is from RNAcentral.